Molecule: long non-coding RNA, 1604 nt
Organism: Oncorhynchus tshawytscha (Chinook salmon)
Lineage: Eukaryota; Metazoa; Chordata; Actinopteri; Salmoniformes; Salmonidae
Source: Ensembl
GGCCACCUCCUCUUAUUAUCUCAUGCUGUUUAGUUUCACUUUCUCUUUGCUAUUAAAACAGAUCACUUCAAACCACAACUGCAAUACAGUCGAUAGAUAAUAAUCCUACAGCUGCAGAGAAUAAAACAGUACACUUGGUUAAGUGGAAACUGGUAGUGCAGAAUUGAAUGGAAUGUUUUUUAGGUGAGUAAUUCUAUGAAUGUAGAAUAGAACAGAGGCAGUAAGUACAUUUACAAUAACACAUUACUUUCACUUCUAAUUCCAAGAAAUCAUGUGGUCCAGUGGAAGGACUGAGGUGGUGAAGUGCUCUAGAGCCGGAUACUGUGAAAGACUAGAGCAAAAAAAGUGCAUGUUUAGAAUGUGAUAUAGCCUCAUGCUGCUGUACACAGUUUGCACUGUAGAGAAAUAUAUUUUAUCUUCAUGGUUUGCACACUGGUUGUAGUUCUCCUAUCCUGAAUGUAUCUAUCUAAAAAAACAUUUGUCUGUUUAUUCACUUCCUUUAGAUCCAUGUUGGAACACAGAGGUCAUUUUCAACAGGGCUCUUAUGUAUAAUGUCAUAUUUUGAUGAAGGGGUGCACUAUAAAGUAAAUGGUUAAACCUACAAUGCUCUUAUAGCUGGCUGAACUAUGAACAUUGUUCCAUUUGACAAAAACAUUCAUACUUUUAUCAAUGACCUUUUUGACCUUCCUCUUUGUUGUCUGUUUAAAAUCAGUGGCACACAAGAUGAAAUACUACACAGUUGAGACUGGCAAUACUUUGGAUUCUCACAUUCAGUUUAUGAGACGACUCAACAACACCACAAGGUGUUUUACGGAAGUCAAGUCUCCAGAGGAGAGUGAUGUCAUCAUGGCUUUCUGUCCCAUCGUCUCUCGCGCCGGGACUGAUAUUGAUGCAGCACUGCAACAGAUUCCAAAGGGUAAAGAUGUCAUUCUGGUAGUGCUGCAUCACACCUUCAACCCAGACGACACUGUACCUUACAGCAGCAGACUAGUGACCAGAAGUGAUGUAAUACUCACAGUGGACUGUCUGUUCCAUGAGAGACUGGGAGGACUACUGGACUGUCCUCGCAAUGAUGCAGCAGUCAGAAAUAUUAGGCAGAAGUUUGACACAGUGGACUGUCUGUUCCAUGAGAGCCAGGGACUACUGGACUGUCCUCGCAAUGAUGCAGCAGUCAGAAAUAUUAGGCAGAAGUUUGACAUAGAUCCUAUGGCCAGAAAUUGUGACUGUCUAGCUUGGAUUCUAAACGCUGCCAUGGGGUUACUGUCUUUAUGCCGCAACUGCCCUUGUAUGGUGUUUUCUUACAUGAUGGGGCUCAUCUCAGGCAAAAAUCCAUGUCCCUUUGCAAGACCUCAUUCCAGAAAUGAAGACUAUUUACAUUUGGCCCAACUAUGAACAUGUGAUAAUAUAUAGUGUGACUCCUGUAAACGUGAUGAUCAAUUCCCUUAGAGAACAAAUGUUAUGGAUUACAUCUUUAAUUGCAUGUCAUUUAGGCCUACUUGAGAAAGUACAGAUAAUUUACAGUGGUAAUGUAUGGAAUUAGGCCUGGCUGUAUCAAUGUAACAAUAAUAUGGAAAUAAAAAAGAAACUGGAUUUGUGGAAGGGCA